Molecule: unclassified non-coding RNA, 678 nt
Filed under: Hevea brasiliensis (rubber tree)
Lineage: Eukaryota; Viridiplantae; Streptophyta; Magnoliopsida; Malpighiales; Euphorbiaceae
Source: RNAcentral
GGAGUCAUGGCAUCACCAGCUGUCUUCUCACUCAGCUCAAGGGCUCCAGCAAUAAUAGUGGUUUCAUCGUGUGUCAGUUCUCCACCCUUUCCAGCCUCAUUACCGUGCAAAUUGACAAGUGUUUUCAGCUCAGCUCUACGGAAAAGAGCUACACGUCCAUGGCCCAGAAGAAAGUCUAGUAGCUUGCUGAUUGGAUAUGCAACAGGGAAGCAAAUCCAAACAAGAACACGGACAAAAGGAGCAACUGUUGAUCCAAUUGCCAACCCAUACCGAGAGCAAACAGAUUGGGGUAUAAUCUCGCCAAAUAGAAGAAUCAAUGUCACUGAGAUUAGAAUAGCUCCCCAAGCUGUAACCAGGCUAUCAAGGAAAAUAGGAAGUGCCUCCAUGGCUGCCGCAUUGCAUAUCAGUAGGGUGCAAAGCAAUAAGUGCUGGUUUUUAACAACUGGCAAUAUCUUUGCGGCGUGUAUGCGGUCCUUGGGGGUACCGGACUUGGCAAGGACUUCGAGAUCGACAAGGCUCAUGGACAUGAGGCCGAGGGUGAGACCGGACAUCAAACCGGCGAAGAGGACCAAGAGAACGAUGAUGAGUAUGUGGAUGAAGAAAUUGGGGCUGCAGCAUUCGUAUUCGACGGCCAUUCAAUCCGGCCGACGGUGAGUUGAGGAAAUAGGAAGUUCGAGA